UACGUAGGGGGCAAGCGUUGUCCGGAAUCAUUGGGCGUAAAGAGCGUGUAGGCGGCUCGAUAAGUCUGCUGUGAAAGUCCAGGGCUCAACCCUGGAAGGCCGGUGGAAACUGUCGGGCUAGAGUCCGGAAGAGGCGAGUGGAAUUCCCGGUGUAGCAGUGAAAUGCGUAGAGAUCGUAAGGAAGACCAGUGGCGAAGGCGGGUCUCUGGACAGUUCCUGACACUGAGGCACGAAGGCCAGGGGAGCAAACGGG
Molecule: ribosomal RNA, 253 nt
Filed under: uncultured bacterium
Lineage: Bacteria
Description: partial 16S ribosomal RNA
Rfam family: Bacterial small subunit ribosomal RNA
Source: RNAcentral